This is a long non-coding RNA of Protopterus annectens (West African lungfish), 766 nucleotides long. RefSeq lists it as uncharacterized. Lineage: Eukaryota; Metazoa; Chordata; Ceratodontiformes; Protopteridae. The transcript has 3 exons. The record is from RefSeq and is a predicted model, not a curated record.
GGAAAGCAUGGCAAUACAACAAACUGACCAAGAACAUGUAAAUUCUAGUGUUCCUACUCUCCAAGUUGCAUCCUUUGCUUCUAUAGUGAAUGGGAAUACAUCUACAUCGAAUAUGGAUAAAAAUUAGAAGUCAGAAGAACGAAGGAAUGCAAACACUAUAGUCCUGAAUAGGAACACUUCAAUUUCCACAGUUUGCAGCAGUACAUUUACCCAGAUGUCAGGAUGCAGAGAAGGACUGCAGGGCAAGAAAUAAACAGUGCCAUAAAUUCACCAUGGUGGUGAAAACUUCAGGAUCAAAUUUGCCACUACAAACUUCAUUUCAACAGCUUUUCAAGUAACUACAAAAGUUUUCCGACCAUCUAUGGUUCUCAUAAGUGGCCAGCUGAAGUCAACCUAAACAUUGGACUACAGAUAAGGACGCAGGUGCGAGGAAGGAACCAGGUUGGAGGCAAGAACAACUUACUGAACUGUCAAAUAAUUCAUCUUGAAACAAGAACACAAAAGAGCUUAUUAACAGACUGCAUGACAUCAUCGAAAGAUUGUUUUCACACAGAAACAUUCUCAAACAGGAAAAACUCCUUAAAUUAAUAACAGACUGCAUGACAUCAGAAAAUAACAAAGUAAUGACUUUGAGAGUUCCCAAAAGACUGCUUUCAUAAGAAUGUAUAUAAGUGAGAUGUAAUCUUAUUUCUUGUUAGAUCUGUUAGAGCUGUUUACUGGAGAAUACCUUUCAUGUUGUAUUGAGAAGCAACUUGAAGACAUUAAA